Molecule: transfer RNA, 73 nt
Filed under: Actinomycetota bacterium
Lineage: Bacteria; Bacillati; Actinomycetota
Description: tRNA-Arg
Rfam family: tRNA
About the family: Transfer RNA (tRNA) molecules are approximately 80 nucleotides in length. Their secondary structure includes four short double-helical elements and three loops (D, anti-codon, and T loops). Further hydrogen bonds mediate the characteristic L-shaped molecular structure. tRNAs have two regions of fundamental functional importance: the anti-codon, which is responsible for specific mRNA codon recognition, and the 3' end, to which the tRNAs corresponding amino acid is attached (by aminoacyl-tRNA synthetases). tRNAs cope with the degeneracy of the genetic code in two manners: having more than one tRNA (with a specific anti-codon) for a particular amino acid; and 'wobble' base-pairing, i.e. permitting non-standard base-pairing at the 3rd anti-codon position.
Source: RNAcentral
GCCCCGGUAGCUCAGUGGACAGAGCGCGGCUCUCCUAAGGCCGGCGUCGCAGGUUCGAUUCCUGCCCGGGGCA